Molecule: long non-coding RNA, 682 nt
Filed under: Bos taurus (domestic cattle)
Lineage: Eukaryota; Metazoa; Chordata; Mammalia; Artiodactyla; Bovidae
Description: long non-coding RNA NONBTAT000849
Source: RNAcentral
UUGUUAGCCAUACAUCCUGUUCUCAGGAUACCACUGGAUUCCUGAUAGUUCUCUGGGGCCUUUCCUGUUUCUGUUGAGCUCUUGAAGUUGGGAUCUAUACUCUGAGGAGUGUUUCUCUGAGCCACUUCUUACCUCCUGAGUCUGUUUAACCACAGGUUGGGGAGUAUUAGUGAGAGAUCUCAGGAAUUUGUCUAAUCUGCUUCUUUCUGGGUUCAGUCAUGGUGGAGGCUGCAGUGGGCUUAGAAGCUGUACUUUGAUCUGUCAGAAUGUUUUGUCUCUUUCUUCAAUGGCCACACUUUGAAGUUUAUAGCUUGUAGCUAUACCCCUUUUCUUAUUCUGUUGCUACUGGUGAAUUUUCAGUUGUUAGUUUUGUGUGUGUGUGUGAUGGUCAUCUGAAAGAACAUACAGGUGAGACAAUAUAAAAACACAUUUUUAAAAAUAAUAGGUUAUUGAUGGAAUUGGAAGCUAGCUUUACCAGAUGAUAAAACAUGUUACAAAAUAUAGCAAUUAGAGUAUUCCUGGCAUUAAGUAUAGACAGACAGAUUAAAAAGUUGAAUGUGUGAUAAAAGAAGUUUUAUGCAUUUUGCUUAUUUAGAGCAAAAGACUAAAUAAACUUGGCUCUUUCCUCAUAUAUGCUUGAAAAAUAUUGCAAAAGAUCAGAUAAUUAAAUUAACUGAAAGUA